UCUUGCCCCUUCAGAGUUUCUCAGCCCCAACACUAAUCCAUCUUUGGCCUUUUCUUCCCUGGAGCCUAGUCUGUCCCCCCAUCAAUUCGUCUCCCCAGCUCUGCCUCCCAUCCCCCAUUCCAACCCUCAUUCCCUCCACAGCUUUCUAACAGUUAUAGUGGAGGGCGAGGGGGACACAAGACCUCCUAUCACCUGAUUCCAGCUCCUUGGCCAGAGGAGCAGUAGCCACCUUGUCCUGGUUCAGCCUGUCUUGAAGCUGCUUAUCGAUCUGAUUUUCGAUAUCUGUCACCAUCUCUGAAGUAGAAGGGCUGACAGACAACAGAAGGGACUUCCUGCCAGGGGAGGAGCUAUGAGCAGAAGGCAGUGAGAGCCCUCUCCUUCCUUGAAGACCAGGAAGAUGUGCAUCCCUCCAACCCUGCUGUGCCUGGGCUCCACCCGGUCUCCCUUUACUCAAUUUUCUCUCAGCCAUCUCUUUGCUGACUGCUCCCUAGUCCUGGUUCUUAACCCACAGAUAUUUAAAGUGGAAAUGAGAGAACUGAAGUUCUGGAAAG
Molecule: long non-coding RNA, 551 nt
Organism: Lagenorhynchus albirostris (white-beaked dolphin)
Lineage: Eukaryota; Metazoa; Chordata; Mammalia; Artiodactyla; Delphinidae
Exons: 3
Source: RefSeq, a predicted model, not a curated record